AGCGAACGCUGGCGGCAGGCCUAACACAUGCAAGUCGAACGAACUCUUCGGAGUUAGUGGCGGACGGGUGAGUAACACGUGGGAACGUGCCUUUUGGUUCGGAAUAACUCAGGGAAACUUGUGCUAAUACCGAAUGUGCCCUUCGGGGGAAAGAUUUAUCGCCAUUAGAGCGGCCCGCGUCUGAUUAGCUAGUUGGUGAGGUAACGGCUCACCAAGGCGACGAUCAGUAGCUGGUCUGAGAGGAUGACCAGCCACACUGGGACUGAGACACGGCCCAGACUCCUACGGGAGGCAGCAGUGGGGAAUCUUGCGCAAUGGGCGAAAGCCUGACGCAGCCAGGCCGCGUGAAUGAUGAAGGUCUUAGGAUUGUAAAAUUCUUUCACCGGGGACGAUAAUGACGGUACCCGGAGAAGAAGCCCCGGCUAACUUCGUG
RNAcentral lists this ribosomal RNA (433 nucleotides) under uncultured bacterium. Its description in RNAcentral is "partial 16S ribosomal RNA". It matches the Rfam family "Bacterial small subunit ribosomal RNA", at positions 29 to 507 of the family's 1533-position model. The record is from RNAcentral.